CAAGCAUCCAAGUGGCGGCACGGGGCUGGCAGAAGCGGGGGCAGUUGCAGGCAGGCAUGUGGUGGACAGGACCCUGAGCGGGCAGGGUGGGCUUAGCUCACAGCUAGGUUCUCUGCUACCACCUAACGUGCAAAAUGUCAUGCAAAACCCAUGUGCUUGCCUCUGCGUGUCUACAUACGGAUCGAAUCUAUCCUCGAUUGGUUAAGCUUUUCGAAUCUUUGAAACCAUUAUUCAUAGCUUAAUGAUCUGUACAGCAGCCAGAAAAGGAUCAAUGUGAGAUUUGGACACUGUUUUGUUUCCCUAGACCCAGGAGUGCUUGGUCCAGCUCUGGGUGACCAUGAAAGUUUUGGAUUCCCAAUCAGGGUCGAGCAUGUUUGCCUGCUGUGAGUGAAGAGCUGGAGAGACAGGGGGUGGAAGCUGCAGGAGCUCCUGGAAUAUGGGAGGGGCCGAGCCCCAGGCACGAGCCUUCCCACUCAGAGGCUGUCAGGCUUCCUUGUUUUAUUCUAAUGCUGACGUUCGGAAGAACAAGACCUGUUGUCGGAACGAUGCCUCGUUUCUCAGGUUCACACGUAGGAAUGCGUGUUGCACGGCACAGCUGCUACCCCGAUGAAAGCCCAGGAAAGCCUGAGUUCAGGUGCUCAGGGAAACCGAUCCCAGACAGCGGGCAGGACUCCUCGGAGGGGAUCAGCAUCGUACGAAACGGCGGAGUUUACUCCUGCACUAUCGUAUAUCCGGCAGCUUCUGGAUCACGGCACCCAUCUGCAUAAUGCAGGCGCUCUUAAUCCGUAGUUCAGUAAUUGCAGCCAUAGAUCACGGAAUUCAUUCCCAUGGCACACAAGAUAAGAGAUGAAGAAACUGCUUUAUGCAUGCAAAUCAAAACCGCUUGUAUUCCUGAAUAUAAUGAUGAAAAAAAAAGUGAGCUUCCAGAUGUGCCAGAGAGAGAUUUUCAAGACGUACAGUCACUCCGUAACACAUUCUGAUGAAUUUUUCAGAGAUGAAAUAUGCCUUUGAUUAGGGAAGGUUUUUUUCCCUUUUUGAUAAGUCCUGUGCGCACUGGGGUACUCAUUUAGUCAUGAUGUCCUAUGCAAAAUGAAAGGAUAAAACCUUCACUUUG
RNAcentral lists this long non-coding RNA (1114 nucleotides) under Ursus maritimus (polar bear). Its description in RNAcentral is "lncRNA (ENSUMAG00000012656.1)". Lineage: Eukaryota; Metazoa; Chordata; Mammalia; Carnivora; Ursidae. The record is from RNAcentral.